Molecule: ribosomal RNA, 464 nt
Filed under: uncultured bacterium
Lineage: Bacteria
Description: partial 16S ribosomal RNA
Rfam family: Bacterial small subunit ribosomal RNA
Source: RNAcentral
CCUACGGGUGGCAGCAGUGGGGAAUCUUCCGCAAUGGGCGAAAGCCUGACGGAGCAACGCCGCGUGAUGGAAUGAAGGCCUGCGGGUUGUAAAGAUCUGUUGACAGGGACGAAUAAGCAAUGCGAAUAGUUUUGUGUAUGACGGUACCUGACGAAUAAGCCACGGCUAACUACGUGCCAGCAGCCGCGGUAAUACGUAGGUGGCAAGCGUUAUCCGGAUUUACUGGGGGUAAAGGGCGUGUAGGCGGGAGAGCAAGUCAGAUGUGAAAGUCCAGGGCUCAACCCUGGAACUGCAUUUGAAACUGUUUUUCUUGAGUGAUGGAGAGGCAGGCGGAAUUCCGUGUGUAGCGGUGAAAUGCGUAGAUAUACGGAGGAACACCAGUGGCGAAGGUGGCCUGCUGGACAUUAACUGACGCUGAGGCGCGAAAGCGUGGGGAGCAAACAGGAUUAGAUACCCCAGUAGUC